GAAACGCGAUAGUUAAUGUGAAUUGCAGAAUACAGUGAAUCAUCGAGUCUUUGAACGCACAUUGCGCCCAUAGGUAUUCCUUUGGGCAUGUCUGUUUGAGCGUCAUUACAACCCUCAGCUAACCGCUGGUUUUGAACCUGAACGGGCGACACCGCGCCGGUUUUAAAGUUGUAAGCUCUGCUGGCCGCUCUGCCCAACCAGAACAUAGUAAGCACUACUUGUCCGGGUGAAGCUGAACGGUACGGCCUGAACAAAACCUACCCACUCUCAAGGUCUGACCUCAGAUCAGACAAGGAUACCCGCUGAACUUAAGC
Molecule: unclassified non-coding RNA, 314 nt
Filed under: plant metagenome
Description: partial contains 5.8S ribosomal RNA, internal transcribed spacer 2, and large subunit ribosomal RNA
Rfam family: 5.8S ribosomal RNA (bases 1-105)
Source: RNAcentral